Molecule: ribosomal RNA, 201 nt
Filed under: uncultured bacterium
Lineage: Bacteria
Description: partial 16S ribosomal RNA
Rfam family: Bacterial small subunit ribosomal RNA
Source: RNAcentral
CUACGGGAGGCAGCAGCCGCGGUAAUCCAGCAGCCUACGGGAGGCAGCAGUGGGGAAUAUUGCACAAUGGGCGAAAGCCUGAUGCAGCAACGCCGCGUGAGCGAUGAAGGCCUUCGGGUCGUAAAGCUCUGUCCUCAAGGAAGAUAAUGACGGUACUUGAGGAGGAAGCCCCGGCUAACUACGUGCCAGCAGCCGCGGUAA